UACAGAGGGGGCAAGCGUUGUUCGGAAUUACUGGGCGUAAAGGGCGCGUAGGCGGCCUUCUAAGUCGAACGUGAAAUCCCCGGGCUCAACCCGGGAACUGCGUCCGAUACGUGGAAGGCUUGAAUCCGGGAGAGGGAUGCGGAAUUCCGAGGUGUAGCGGUGAAAUGCGUAGAUAUCGGAGGAAGACCGGUGGCAGAAGGCGGC
Molecule: ribosomal RNA, 204 nt
Filed under: uncultured bacterium
Lineage: Bacteria
Description: partial 16S ribosomal RNA
Rfam family: Bacterial small subunit ribosomal RNA
Source: RNAcentral